ACCGACACCCCCGGGUAGCUGCAGGUUCACUGUGGUGGGUUUGGGUGUGUGUUUGUGGUUUGAGAAUCCAAUAGCGUGUUUGUUUGAAAACAAUGUGAUGCCAGAAAAGUUUUUCUGGUGAGACAACCAAACCCACGCCAACCCUCCGGGGUGGUGUGGUGGUCGCAGGGUCAACCCCGUUGGGUCUGUGACUGUCUUGCUGGGAGCAAAUGUUGAAAUAAGUUUUUUAUGGAGAGUUUGAUCCUGGCUCAGGACGAACGCUGGCUGCGUGCUUAACACAUGCAAGUCGAACGCUGAAGCGACCAGCUUGCUGGUCGUGGAUGAGUGGCGAACGGGUGAGUAACACGUGAGUAACCUGCCCCUGACUUCGGGAUAAGCCUGGGAAACUGGGUCUAAUACCGGAUAUGACCAUCGUGGGCAUCCAUGGUGGUGGAAAGUUUUUUCGGUUGGGGAUGGGCUCGCGGCCUAUCAGUUUGUUGGUGAGGUAAUGGCUCACCAAGACGACGACGGGUAGCCGGCCUGAGAGGGCGACCGGCCACACUGGGACUGAGACACGGCCCAGACUCCUACGGGAGGCAGCAGUGGGGAAUAUUGCACAAUGGGGGAAACCCUGAUGCAGCGACGCAGCGUGCGGGAUGACGGCCUUCGGGUUGUAAACCGCUUUCAGCAGGGAAGAAGCGCAAGUGACGGUACCUGCAGAAGAAGUACCGGCUAACUACGUGCCAGCAGCCGCGGUAAUACGUAGGGUACGAGCGUUGUCCGGAAUUAUUGGGCGUAAAGAGCUCGUAGGUGGUUGGUCACGUCUGCUGUGGAAACGCAACGCUUAACGUUGCGCGGGCAGUGGGUACGGGCUGACUAGAGUGCAGUAGGGGAGUCUGGAAUUCCUGGUGUAGCGGUGAAAUGCGCAGAUAUCAGGAGGAACACCGGUGGCGAAGGCGGGACUCUGGGCUGUAACUGACACUGAGGAGCGAAAGCAUGGGGAGCGAACAGGAUUAGAUACCCUGGUAGUCCAUGCCGUAAACGUUGGGCACUAGGUGUGGGGGGCAUUCCACGUUCUCCGCGCCGUAGCUAACGCAUUAAGUGCCCCGCCUGGGGAGUACGGCCGCAAGGCUAAAACUCAAAGGAAUUGACGGGGGCCCGCACAAGCGGCGGAGCAUGCGGAUUAAUUCGAUGCAACGCGAAGAACCUUACCAAGGCUUGACAUACACCAGAUCGCUGCAGAAAUGUGGUUUCCCCUUUGGGGUUGGUGUACAGGUGGUGCAUGGUUGUCGUCAGCUCGUGUCGUGAGAUGUUGGGUUAAGUCCCGCAACGAGCGCAACCCUCGUUCUAUGUUGCCAGCACGUGAUGGUGGGAACUCAUAGGAGACUGCCGGGGUCAACUCGGAGGAAGGUGGGGAUGACGUCAAAUCAUCAUGCCCUUUAUGUCUUGGGCUUCACGCAUGCUACAAUGGCUGGUACAAAGAGUGGCGAGCCCGUGAGGGUGAGCGAAUCCCUGAAAGCCAGUCUCAGUUCGGAUCGUAGUCUGCAAUUCGACUACGUGAAGUCGGAGUCGCUAGUAAUCGCAGAUCAGCAACGCUGCGGUGAAUACGUUCCCGGGCCUUGUACACACCGCCCGUCAAGUCACGAAAGUCGGUAACACCCGAAGCCGGUGGCCUAACCCGUUCGCGGGAGGGGGCCGUCUAAGGUGGGACUGGUGAUUGGGACUAAGUCGUAACAAGGUAGCCGUACCGGAAGGUGCGGCUGGAUCACCUCCUUUCU
This 1757-nucleotide ribosomal RNA is filed under the name Brevibacterium sanguinis. RNAcentral's name for it is "bacterial SSU rRNA". The stretch from base 226 to 1755 matches the Rfam family "Bacterial small subunit ribosomal RNA". The record is from RNAcentral. Lineage: Bacteria; Bacillati; Actinomycetota; Actinomycetes; Micrococcales; Brevibacteriaceae.